AAAAAAAAACACCUCGGAUCGCUCUGGAAGGAAAAAAAAAAAGGCACCGAAAGCGGUGACGAGGUCGCGACUGGCGGAAGCGGCGACAAGGUCAGAUCCCCCGACGGAAGCGGCGGCGACCCGGCGACCGUACGCCGACCACCUCGCUCUCAGACCCUCCUUCCUCAUCGAGUUCGACGAGAUCAGCGCCGGCCCCAUCCAGAUGGUCCAUCAGCUUAACUCAUUUGAGCUGCCGGGCAGCCGUGUGCAAUCACAAGGAUUUCUUCACAUGGAUGUUGAUCGUGCCCACGGCUGUGUGCAGUCAGAAGGACUUGGUGCUAUUGAUGACGAUCGUGCUCGCAGUCGUGGGCAAUCACAAGGACUUGGUGAUAUUGAUGACAAUCACGGGGCUGUUGAGUAUCCUCGUGAGAAUAUUAACUUAAUGAAGUAGAAUAUCAAUAUCAGAAGCACAUGAAUGGUAAUACAACUUGCAUAUCAUAUCUUCACUUUACAUAUACAUGUCAAGCUCUGCGUGAUACAUACUGGUUCCACAUUCCUUGUGCAAUAUGAUCUCGCAUUUGAUUUCCUACUUGUCUGGAAUAAUUAAAUGCAUGUAUAUCACCAUGAUAGUCGUGGUCUCCAUUUGGCACAUCAACAAUCUGGUUCGGGUCAAUCUCCAUGGGAGCAUCUUUGGGCCACUCCAUAUCUCCUUUGUGUAGGCGUAUGAAAUUGUGCAGAACACAACAAGCCACAGAUAUGUCAAUUUGUUUAUCAACUGAAUAAUGUGCAGCAACUUUCAGGAUAGGAAAUCUCAUUUUUAGUAUGCCGAUAAUUCUCUCUAUAUGAUUCCGAAGUUGAGCAUGACGAAGGUUGAACAAUUCCUUGUAAUUUUGUGGCCUUUGACGUGCUUCUCCUUGUUCUUUUAGAUGAUACCUAGUACCACGGUAUGGAGCAAGAAAUUGGGGUGUGUUUGCAUAACCAGCAUCAACAAGCAAGGGGAAGAUGAAAGCAUAGAGCACAGGCAGCAAGGGGAAGAUGAAAGAAUAGAGCACAGGCAGCAAAUGCUGUGGGCAGGGAAAAGAGCUAUCCGUUGUAGAGAGUAGCAUCAGGUUAUAUAGGCACUUGCUGCUAACGGCUACUUCAGGCAGUUGACUGCACUAGCCGUUGGAAGUUUGAAAAACAUCAGACUUACAAAUAGAAAUAAUAAUACUUUAUUGUAUAGGAUUCCUGUACGUCUCCUAUGAUGCAGCCAAAGGCACUUUGUUACCAGUUCCUCUGGAUUUGCAUUCCAUAGGAUUGGCUAUGUCAUGGCAGUCAAAUCCUCCAUUUUCCCUA
Molecule: non-coding RNA, 1314 nt
Organism: Aegilops tauschii subsp. strangulata
Lineage: Eukaryota; Viridiplantae; Streptophyta; Magnoliopsida; Poales; Poaceae
Source: RefSeq, a predicted model, not a curated record